This 1129-nucleotide long non-coding RNA is filed under the name Takifugu rubripes (torafugu). RNAcentral describes it as "lncRNA (ENSTRUG00000027354.1)". The record is from RNAcentral. Lineage: Eukaryota; Metazoa; Chordata; Actinopteri; Tetraodontiformes; Tetraodontidae.
GCCCUGUACAAUUACAGUUCAAUCGCUCAGCGUUAUUUCCAGAGUGACAACUCUUGUGCUACUACAGCUGAAUUUGGGGAGGAACGCCGCAACAAGCACGAGGCGUAAAGGUCAUACAAAAAGGUGAGGCGGCUGAUAACAACGAGACCGCCGGAGAGAACGCACAGCCUGCGGUAGUCCAGCAGAGGUUUGGAGAUGGACAGAUAAAUCACUUCAAACCUGACUCAUCCCCCGUACAGACUGCAGAGCAAACAUUCUGGCUUAUUAAAAGGAAUUCGACUCAUCGUUGACCCAGAUCUGGUGUCAAACCACCGUGCGCUGGCCCGCGUCAAAGCCACCGACUGGGGACUUUAAUCAAGAUGAGUGAACGGCCUGCUGAGGGUUUCCUCCAGCUCUAAGUAAUCCUCUUCUUCCAGCCUCCGCUUAUUGAUCGGCUCAUUGAUUUCAUUUAGCGGCCACGCGGGUACCCCUUCCUUUCUGGCAUUUUAAGGCAUUACCUAAUCUGGUUAUGCUGCUUCCACAGGUGCCACAGUUGCAGUAAAAUGGCAAGAAGCAUGAGGCUAUUCUUUGUGGGAGAAGGGCUCUCCGACACGAUUUUACUCCAUUUUAGACUCCGCCCUGACUAGAUUCUCCCUCGAUCUGCAGACCAGAACAAAUAUUUCAGCCUAGAGACAACUGAAUUUCCAGGCAGUCUUUGUAAGCUGCCUUUAUACACAAGGGAAUUGGGUAUCCAUAGCUCCCUUACAGGAUUGUUCCAUUAAGUUGCAGCUGAAAAGUACACUGAUGAGUUGGGUUAAGUCUUGGUUUGUAAAUAUGAGUAAUUAAACAUGUUCUGACGCAUCAUCAUUGUUUUAGUGGUGAACAAAUAUUAAUUCAUUAAUAUUGCAAGUGGGUACUUGACAAACUGCAGAAAAGCCAGCAAAUCCGCACCUCUGAAUGUUUAUUUCAGGAAGCAAUUGUUUCCUUUAGGCCUCUCUGUUAUCUUCUAAGAUAAUAGAAGCUUUCAAAGCAUGAUUACUUCCCGUUAGCAUCAACUAAGCCGGUACAGAACAUAAAAGCUUUGUGACUAUGAGACGCAGGGGGCAUCAGGGGUAAACUCAUAGAAAACAGGUGGUGGAGUUCCUCUCGG